Molecule: ribosomal RNA, 253 nt
Filed under: uncultured prokaryote
Description: partial 16S ribosomal RNA
Rfam family: Bacterial small subunit ribosomal RNA
Source: RNAcentral
UACGUAGGGGGCAAGCGUUGUCCGGAUUUAUUGGGCGUAAAGAGCGUGUAGGCGGCCUGGAAGGUCAGCUGUGAAAACUCGAGGCUCAACCUCGAGACGUCGGUUGAAACCACCUGGCUAGAGUCCGGAAGAGGAGAAUGGAAUUCCCGGUGUAGCGGUGAAAUGCGCAGAUAUCGGGAAGAACACCAAUGGCGAAGGCAGCUCGCUGGGACGGUACUGACGCUGAGACGCGAAAGCGUGGGGAGCAAACAGG